Oryctolagus cuniculus (rabbit) is the source of this 697-nucleotide non-coding RNA. The record is from RefSeq and is a predicted model, not a curated record. Lineage: Eukaryota; Metazoa; Chordata; Mammalia; Lagomorpha; Leporidae.
GGGGACCACAGCACAGCCAACCUCUCACCUCCUGAGGUACCCAGGAACCCUGCGCUGCAUCUGGUCCUGAUCCCGAACGCCCGCCUGCCCAGAUGUCCUGCCAGCAGAGCCAGCAGCAGUGCCAGCCCCCUCCCAAGUGCCCCCCCAAGUGCCCUCCCAAGUGCCAAGCCCCCAAAUGCCCCCCAAAGUGUCCCCCUAAGUGUCCUCCAGUGUCCUCCUGCUGCAUCUCCAGCUCUGGGGGCUGCUGCGGCUCCAGCUCUGGGGGUGGGGGCUGCUGCGGCUCUGGGGGUGGGGGCUGCUGCAGCUCUGGGGGUGGGGGCUGCUGCCUGAGCCACCACAGGCCCCGCAGGUCGCACCGCGGCAGACAGCAGAGCUCAGGCUGCUGCAGCCAGCCCUCGGGGGGCUCCAGCUGCUGUGGAGGGGGCGGCAGCCAGUCAUCUGGGGGCUGCUGCUGAGGGGGACCCUGAGCCUGGAAAAGCAGAAUUCAGGAGAGCAGACCGCCAAGGACAGUCUCCUCCUCCUGGGCCUGCCCCUGCGGCUCAGAUGUCCCGGGAGGAUGCUGAACUUCGUAGAACUGUUUCUCCUCCCUGAUCCCCGUUACCUGUCCUGGGACGCCAUCUUUGUGGCCACCCUCACAACCUCAGGGCAACAACCAUAGCUCAUUCAUCCUCUUCCAGUGAUUAAAAGAAUAAAACGA